Molecule: ribosomal RNA, 253 nt
Filed under: uncultured bacterium
Lineage: Bacteria
Description: partial 16S ribosomal RNA
Rfam family: Bacterial small subunit ribosomal RNA
Source: RNAcentral
UACGUAGGGGGCAAGCGUUGUCCGGAUUUACUGGGCGUAAAGCGCGUGUAGGCGGCUUUGCAAGUCGGAUGUGAAAGCCCACGGCUCAACCGUGGAAGUGCAUCCGAAACUGCAUGGCUGGAGUCUCGGAGAGGAAGGUGGAAUGCUUGGUGUAGAGGUGAAAUUCGUAGAUAUCAAGCAGAACACCUGCGGCGAAGGCGGCCUUCUGGACGAUGACUGACGCUGAGACGCGAAAGCGUGGGGAGCAAACAGG